GGACCUAUAGUUUAACGGAUAGAAUAAAGGUCUUCUAAACCUUGGGUCUAGGUUCGAUUCCUAGUGGGUCCACCA
RNAcentral lists this transfer RNA (75 nucleotides) under Candidatus Riesia sp. RNAcentral describes it as "tRNA-Arg". It matches the Rfam family "tRNA". From Rfam's summary of the family: Transfer RNA (tRNA) molecules are approximately 80 nucleotides in length. Their secondary structure includes four short double-helical elements and three loops (D, anti-codon, and T loops). Lineage: Bacteria; Pseudomonadati; Pseudomonadota; Gammaproteobacteria; Enterobacterales; Enterobacteriaceae. The record is from RNAcentral.